RNAcentral lists this ribosomal RNA (495 nucleotides) under uncultured bacterium. RNAcentral describes it as "partial 16S ribosomal RNA". It matches the Rfam family "Bacterial small subunit ribosomal RNA", at positions 28 to 507 of the family's 1533-position model. The record is from RNAcentral.
GACGAACGCUGGCGGCGUGCCUAAUACAUGCAAGUAGAACGCUGAAGGAGGAGCUUGCUUCUCUGGAUGAGUUGCGAACGGGUGAGUAACGCGUAGGUAACCUGCCUGGUAGCGUGGGAUAACUAUUGGAAACGAUAGCUAAUACCGCAUAAGAGUAGAUGUUGCAUGACAUUUUCUUAAAAGUUGCAAUUUCAUCACUACCAGAUGGACCUGCGUUGUAUUAGCUUGUUGGUGGGGUAACGGCUCACCAAGGCGACGAUACAUAGCCGACCUGAGAGGGUGAUCGGCCAAAAUGGGAAUGAGACACGGCACAGACGACUACGGGAGGCAGCAGUAGGGAAACAUCGGAAAUGGACGGAAGACUGAACGAGCAAAGCCGGGGGAGGGAAGAAGGGAGUAGGAUCGUAAAGCUCUGUUGUAAGAGAAGAAAGAGAGGGAGAGUGGAAAGUUCACACUGUGACGGUAUCUGACCAGAAAGGGACGGCUAACUACGUG